Molecule: ribosomal RNA, 458 nt
Filed under: uncultured bacterium
Lineage: Bacteria
Description: partial 16S ribosomal RNA
Rfam family: Bacterial small subunit ribosomal RNA
Source: RNAcentral
CUACGGGCGGCUGCAGUAAGGAAUAUUGGACAAUGCCCGCAAGGGUGAUCCAGCCAUGCCGCGUGCAGGAAGACGGCCCUAUGGGUUGUAAACUGCUUUUGUACGGGAGAAAACCCCCUUUCGUGAAAGGGGCUGAUAGUACCGUAAGAAUAAGCAUCGGCUAACUUCGUGCCAGCAGCCGCGGUAAGACGAAGGAUGCAAGCGUUAUCCGGAUUUAUUGGGUUUAAAGGGUGCGUAGGCGGCCAAUAAGUCAGUGGUGAAAGCCGAUAGCUUAACUAUCGAACUGCCAUUGAUACUGGUUGGCUUGAGUGCAGUUGCUGUGGGCGGAAUAUGACAUGUAGCGGUGAAAUGCAUAGAUAUGUCAUAGAACACCGAUUGCGAAGGCAGCUCACAAAGCUGUAACUGACGCUGAGGCACGAAAGCGUGGGGAUCAAACAGGAUUAGAUACCCGCGUAGUC